AGUGGGGAAUAUUGGACAAUGGGCGAAAGCCUGAUCCAGCCAUGCCGCGUGAGUGAUGAAGGCCUUAGGGUUGUAAAGCUCUUUCAGUAGGGAAGAUAAUGACGGUACCUACAGAAGAAGCCCCGGCUAACUUCGUGCCAGCAGCCGCGGUAAUACGAAGGGGGCUAGCGUUGUUCGGAUUUACUGGGCGUAAAGCGCACGUAGGCGGAUUGUUAAGUCGGGGGUGAAAUCCUGGAGCUCAACUCCAGAACUGCCUUUGAUACUGGCAAGCUAGAGUCCGGAAGAGGUGAGUGGAACUCCUAGUGUAGAGGUGGAAUUCGUAGAUAUUAGGAAGAACACCAGUGGCGAAGGCGGCUCACUGGUCCGGUACUGACGCUGAGGUGCGAAAGCGUGGGGAGCAAA
This 402-nucleotide ribosomal RNA is filed under the name uncultured Devosia sp. Its description in RNAcentral is "bacterial SSU rRNA". It matches the Rfam family "Bacterial small subunit ribosomal RNA", at positions 353 to 772 of the family's 1533-position model. The record is from RNAcentral. Lineage: Bacteria; Pseudomonadati; Pseudomonadota; Alphaproteobacteria; Hyphomicrobiales; Devosiaceae.